Cucumis melo (muskmelon) is the source of this 2194-nucleotide long non-coding RNA. RefSeq lists it as uncharacterized. The transcript has 2 exons. The record is from RefSeq and is a predicted model, not a curated record. NCBI's taxonomy places the organism in Eukaryota, Viridiplantae, Streptophyta, Magnoliopsida, Cucurbitales, Cucurbitaceae.
AAAAAAAAAAGAGGGAAUUGAAGUGUAAGAGAGCCCUUCACCACAAUCUCUAUCUCUCCUCAUCUUCUUCCUCUUCUGCCAACGCUAUUCUUGGCCAUUUCAGUUUCUUCUUCUAACUUCUCGACAAGGGUUCAUCCCAACACUAAACCCUACCUCUUACAUUCUUUUUUCCUUUCUUUAAUUUCUCUUGCAGCUGUUCAGAUUUAUUUUAGGGUUUUGUUUCUUAACCUAAAUGUAACGACUGAUUUUAAUCCUUUUCGAAGCUUGGGUGUCUUUGGAGGGUGAUUCUGUCUGCGUUCUUGAUCUUUUGUUUUGGUUGUCUCAGCUAGCCGAGAAUGUCUAGGCCAUUGGAUCGACUCACUAGACCAUGUGUGUUUCUUUAUAAUUGGUUUGAUUUUUUCUUCUUUUCAUCUCUUGGGUUUUCUUCUCUUUGCAAUUUUGGGAGUUUUGAAAUCUACGCUCCUGAUGCUUCGUUCGAGGAUCCACUUAUGAGAGCUUACGGGUAUGUAUUGUUGGAUUGGAUUUUGAAGAUGAAUUUUUUGAUUUAUGAUUUAUAUGUUUGAAAAAGCAAUUGUAAGAUCGUUAAUGACGACGAGGAACUAAGUAUAAUUUGUUGUGUAUUGAUGAGUGAAUUGUUUAUUUCAAAGUUGCUCUGUUUUUCAGUUAUGCAGUGUGAAGGAAAUAAAAUCGGUAUUUUAUUCUUUGUCCAAGGUUUUUAUCGUAGAUGAUGAAAAAUUGUUGAAAAUAUUUACAAAUGUAGAAAAAUUUCAAAAUCUAUCAACAAUAGAGAGUGAUAGACACUAAGUUUAUUAUGAAAUUUUGCUAUUUUUGUAAAUAUUAUGGUUCAUUUGUUAUAUUUGAAAGAAGAAAAAUCGUAGUGGGUGGCUAUUUGAGUUUAGGGAUUUGUGAGCCUGUCACUCACACUUUUCCAUUUUGCAAGUAUGACAAAAAAAAAAAAAAAAAAAAAGAAGAAGAAGAAGAAGAAGAAGACAAGUUCGACCCAAAUGAUAGACUCGAUAUACACUUUCAUACACCAAACAUUGAUUUGUAAGGCCUUGAUCACGUGUGACAAGAAUUGACUAUGUGAUGAGACUGCUAUCCGACGGAAGUUGGUGAUGGGAGAAAUUACUAGUUAACUUGCGUUUUGUGUUCUAAGUUGCAUGAUGAGAAAGGUUACCCGAUGAACUGUUAUGCGAUAUGAGCUUCCUUCACUUGGAAGUAGCUGGCGUCAUCCUUAUGCAAGAAGCUAGUGAGUUGAUACCUUGACGCCUAAUUGAAUGCAGGAUAAGAAGGUGAUAGUAACACGUGGCAUUCUGGCAUUGGCUAAGUCUCACUGUCGGGUAAAGGUAAUUCUUCCUGUAUGGAAAACUUCACCAGAGAAAUCUAUAAAUAGGUAAAGUUCGGCCGUUUAUUGGGUUGCUUUAACUUGUAUUCACUUUAGAAAGAACUGAGAGAAUUUAAAAAAAAAUUUCAGAGAUCCAUCACGAGCUUGAAUUUGAAAAGUCAAGGAAGUACAAGAAAAUUCUUGACUAAGGAGAUAAACGAGGAAUCUAAUUGAUUGUGAGUGGUUUUUCCCUACAAAUGUUUUUUUUAAAAAAAUAAUAAAAGGAUUUCUAGUGUGUUUAAAUCCUUAAAUGUAUUUUGAGCGAAACCCUGAGUUACAUGAUUUCUUUAUGUUCUCCAAUUCUUAAAAAUAUAUUUCACAUAUACAUGAUUGGAUUUGGAAAUGAACUAGCUAGAAUGAUGUGAUGAUCUUUGGUACCUUAUGCGAUGUGAUGUCUCAUACUUGCUGUGUGUUCUAGUGUGAGAUGUCUUAUCUUUGCUGUGUGAUUUAUGAUAAAAUGCUUUAUUCUUGCUCUAUGAUCUGGAAUAGGAUGCCUCAUACAUGCUAUAUGAUAUGGUAUGGAAUGCCCUCUGCUUGUUGUACAAUCUAGCAUUGGGAGACGCGUUAUGCAUGAUGGAUUUGAUGGUGAAUCAUUGUUGCAUUGAGAUCGCUCCGCAUAGCUGCAACCUAGCAAGUAGCGAGGAACGCCCAUCUUUUAAGUCUUGUCGUCUUGAUCGCCUUGAUCACCUAACUCGCCAUGCAUUAAAAUUAUUGUUUUGAGAUUGUAUAUGUUUUUACUUGAAGGAACUUGUCCUUGUGUUAAAUGUACUCUUUGAUAAAAUAUCAAUGAAGUAUGGCCAUUUAGAUCUA